Molecule: microRNA precursor, 235 nt
Organism: Medicago truncatula (barrel medic)
Lineage: Eukaryota; Viridiplantae; Streptophyta; Magnoliopsida; Fabales; Fabaceae
Rfam family: MIR2655 microRNA precursor family
Source: Rfam
CUCAUAAGUAAUAAAAGGUCCGUUUAGGUCCCUUAACUUUAUUUAAAGUAUCAGUUUGAUCAUUUAUGUUAAUUUAAUUAAAAAAAACGUUAAGUUUAUGAACCAAACUAAUACUAAUUAAAUAAGAUAAGGGAUCAAAAUUUAACAUUUUUUUAAAUUAAAUUAACAGAAAGGACCAAACCAAUACUUUCAAUAAAGUUAAGGGACUAAAACGGACCUUUUAUUAUUUAUGGAA